GUCUUUGACCAUAGCGAUUGUUUGUGGUAAUUACUUUAGAAAAGUAAUUCCUUCUAAAGUAAUUAUCACAAACAAUCGCUAUUGUCAAAGACUUU
Paramuricea clavata is the source of this 95-nucleotide non-coding RNA. NCBI's taxonomy places the organism in Eukaryota, Metazoa, Cnidaria, Anthozoa, Malacalcyonacea, Plexauridae. The record is from the annotation of a GenBank genome assembly.